This 251-nucleotide ribosomal RNA is filed under the name Epiophlebia superstes. RNAcentral's name for it is "partial 28S ribosomal RNA". It matches the Rfam family "Eukaryotic large subunit ribosomal RNA", at positions 1263 to 1484 of the family's 3401-position model. RNAcentral also lists the same sequence under 1 other name. Lineage: Eukaryota; Metazoa; Arthropoda; Insecta; Odonata; Epiophlebiidae. The record is from RNAcentral.
GGAAUCCGCUAAGGAGUGUGUAACAACUCACCUGCCGAAGCAACUAGCCCUGAAAAUGGAUGGCGCUGAAGCGUCGUGCCUAUACCCGGCCGUCGCGGCAGGGCGGACCCCCCUCGAAAGGGGUGCCGUUUGACGCCGCGACGAGUAGGAGGGUCGCGGCGGUGUGCGCAGAAGGGUCUGGGCUCGAGCCUGCCUGGAGCCGCCGCCGGUGCAGAUCUUGGUGGUAGUAGCAAAUACUCCAGCGAGGCCCU